Molecule: ribosomal RNA, 266 nt
Filed under: Klebsiella pneumoniae
Lineage: Bacteria; Pseudomonadati; Pseudomonadota; Gammaproteobacteria; Enterobacterales; Enterobacteriaceae
Description: partial 23S ribosomal RNA
Rfam family: Bacterial large subunit ribosomal RNA
Source: RNAcentral
CCCAGUAAACGGCGGCCGUAACUAUAACGGUCCUAAGGUAGCGAAAUUCCUUGUCGGGUAAGUUCCGACCCGCACGAAAGGUGUAACGAUUUGGGCACUGUCUCAACCAGAGACUCGGUGAAAUUAUAGUACCUGUGAAGAUGCAGGUUACCCGCGACAGGACGGAAAGACCCCGUGGAGCUUUACUGUAGCCUGAUAUUGAAUUUUGGUACAGUUUGUACAGGAUAGGCGGGAGCCAUUGAAACCGGAGCGCUAGCUUCGGUGGA